UGGCGGCCGGGGAGGCGGAGUGGGUGGAGCGCCUGGUCGAUGUCUCGCUCCUGCUGAUUCAUGUUAUGGGAGACAUUGACGUCCCUCACGGAGAGAACGCUCCCUGGGCUGCCUGCCCCCGGGUCGGCUUCAGACCGUCCGCCCAGCGUUGACCUCGGUCUGCCUGAGGAGGAAAAGGCACCCCAUGGACCCGUCCUGUUGGUAGGUCACUGGACGAACACGUGUUACAUACAACCCCACGUCCACUGCGGUGACACAGGGGGCCCCCAGAUCAGACACGUGUGCUCGGACUCAGCGCACGGCCCACACUGUGCCCCUCUGACUUCUGGGGAGUCGGGGACCCCCAGGUUAGUGGUGGAGGGGCAGCGUUCCUCUCUGCCUCUGGCCUCCUUGUUCCUGGGACGGGCGCGGGUCAGGGCUUCGUUGCCACUGGAUGGAAGAUGCAGUCUCGGUACCAGGAGAAACCAGCUCUGCUGGCUGAGAACAAGACGAGGAAACGUAACGUGAGCACCAGGGCUGCUCCUGGCCGGCUGUCGGGGCUCCGGCUGCUGGGAGUGGAGGAGCCUGAGCCCCCGCCGCGCGGGCGGUUUCGUAGGUUGAGGUGGGUCAGGAGCUGUGGGUGCUCGAGGCCCAGCGAGCGCCUUUUCCUGAAAGGACUGCCGCCUGGGCCUUCCUCAUGGACCCCAGGCCUCUGGAGGCUGGAGGAGCCCCGCCCUGGCACGGCGCCGGGGGGGGGGGGGGGGUCCUGGAGGUGGCGGAGGCUUCACUCCUGACCACAGAUGUGGUCCUUUCACUGCUGCACCACUGAGCCCCCUGCCGGCGGGUCCGGCGUCCUCGCUGCCCUCACUGACCCCGGCUGGAGUCUGGCCCCGGGAACGGUACCAGGUGCCGUGGGUUAGGAGGGACUCGUUUUCUCCAGGUGCCGUGUUGAAACCGGUGGGUCCGAAGGCGGCAGUAGCCACUGGUGUGGUCCGUGUCUGCUCCGGCGCCGGCCAGGCCUGUUCCCAGGAGGCUGGGCGCUCGCUGGGUGUGAGCACCUGCUGUCUGGCGAGUAGGAGGCGGUGACAGUGACUGGUUUUAUGAAGUGAAAGUCGCCAGCUCAGCACCUGAGUGCAGUUGGAGCCGCGCUGGAGGGUCAGGUGCUGGGAAUGGAGGCUCUGCCGUCGGAAAGUGCCUGGCGUUUGGGCUGAAGGUGGGCCUCCCGGGUGUGAGCCUGACCGUCCUGCCUCGUGCCCGUCGUCCCCUUGGACGACACGUGAGCAGAUGGGGUCCCAGGCUCGUCGGCUCCUCUGCCCCCGCCAGCCUCGGCGAUGCCUUUGGCCCGUGAUUGGCACGGCCCUCGUGGAGGCUUCGGGCCUCGCGGGCGUGUGGUCUGCGACCCGCUCGCUGCCCUUCCGGUCUGCUCUCCAUGUUUGUAGCCAAAGGGAUCAUUUAAAAUAAACCUGGUUAUCGUAUUUUUCCUCUGGGAAAA
Molecule: long non-coding RNA, 1471 nt
Organism: Myotis brandtii (Brandt's bat)
Lineage: Eukaryota; Metazoa; Chordata; Mammalia; Chiroptera; Vespertilionidae
Exons: 2
Source: RefSeq, a predicted model, not a curated record